Molecule: ribosomal RNA, 498 nt
Filed under: uncultured bacterium
Lineage: Bacteria
Description: partial 16S ribosomal RNA
Rfam family: Bacterial small subunit ribosomal RNA
Source: RNAcentral
AUUGAACGCUGGCGGCACGCCUUACACAUGCAAGUCGAACGGUAACAGGUCUUCGGAUGCUGACGAGUGGCGAACGGGUGAGUAAUACAUCGGAACGUGCCUAGUAGUGGGGGAUAACUACUCGAAAGAGUGGCUAAUACCGCAUGAGAUCUACGGAUGAAAGCAGGGGAUCGCAAGACCUUGUGCUACUAGAGCGGCCGAUGGCAGAUUAGGUAGUUGGUGGGAUAAAAGCUUACCAAGCCGACGAUCUGUAGCUGGUCUGAGAGGACGAUCAGCCACACUGGGACUGAGAAACGGCCCAGACUCCUACGGGAGGCAGCAGUGGGGAAUUUUGGACAAUGGGCGCAAGCCUGAUCCAGCAAUGCCGCGUGCAGGAUGAAGGCCUUCGGGUUGUAAACUGCUUUUGUACGGAACGAAAAGCCCUGGGUUAAUACCCUGGGGUCAUGACGGUACCGUAAGAAUAAGCACCGGCUAACUACGUGCCAGCAGCCGCCGUAA